Molecule: ribosomal RNA, 468 nt
Filed under: uncultured bacterium
Lineage: Bacteria
Description: partial 16S ribosomal RNA
Rfam family: Bacterial small subunit ribosomal RNA (bases 49-468)
Source: RNAcentral
GGGGGGGGGGGGGGGGGGGGGGGGGGGGGGGGGGGCGGGGGGGGGGGGGCCGGGUGUGUUGGGGGCGCGCGGGGCGGACGGGUGCGUCAGCCGUGCGUACCCUGCCCUUGCCGUCGGUAUGGCUGCCGGCAGCUGGUGCUAGUCCCGGAUCGGCGCUCCUUCUGCAUUGGGUUGGUGGUGCAUCUUCGGCGGGUGGGGAUGUACUCGCGGCUGCGCAGCUUGUUGGUGGGGUAGUGGCUUACCCAGGCUUUGACGGGCAGCCGGCCUGAGAGGGUCACCGGCCACAUUGGGACUGGGAUACGGCCCAGACUCCUACGGGAGGCAGCAGCGGGGAAUAUUGCACAAUGGGCGGAAGCCUGAUGCAGCAACGCCGCGUGCGGGAUGACGGCCUUCGGGUUGUAAACCGCUUUCGCCUGUGACGAAGCGUGAGUGACGGUAAUGGGUAAAGAAGCACCGGCUAACUACGUG